UACGUAGGGUGCAAGCGUUAAUCGGAAUUACUGGGCGUAAAGCGUGCGCAGGCGGUUAUGUAAGACCGGUGUGAAAUCCCCGGGCUUAACCUGGGAACUGCAGUCGGGACUGUCUAGCUAGAGUAUGGGAGAGGGAAGUGGAAUUUCAGGUGUAGCGGUGAAAUGCGUAGAUAUCUGAAGGAACAUCAGUGGCGAAAGCGACUUCCUGGACCAAUACUGACGCUCAUGUGCGAAAGCGUGGGGAGCAAACAGG
This 253-nucleotide ribosomal RNA is filed under the name uncultured bacterium. RNAcentral's name for it is "partial 16S ribosomal RNA". It matches the Rfam family "Bacterial small subunit ribosomal RNA", at positions 524 to 776 of the family's 1533-position model. The record is from RNAcentral.